GGAUUAGUCACCUACAGAAAACAGUC
RNAcentral lists this non-coding RNA (26 nucleotides) under Rattus norvegicus (Norway rat). The record is from RNAcentral. Lineage: Eukaryota; Metazoa; Chordata; Mammalia; Rodentia; Muridae.